Molecule: ribosomal RNA, 433 nt
Filed under: uncultured bacterium
Lineage: Bacteria
Description: partial 16S ribosomal RNA
Rfam family: Bacterial small subunit ribosomal RNA
Source: RNAcentral
AGCGAACGCUGGCGGCAGGCCUAACACAUGCAAGUCGAACGAACUCUUCGGAGUUAGUGGCGGACGGGUGAGUAACACGUGGGAACGUGCCUUUUGGUUCGGAAUAACUCAGGGAAGCUUGUGCUAAUACCGAAUGUGCCCUUCGGGGGAAAGAUUUAUCGCCAUUAGAGCGGCCCGCGUCUGAUUAGCUAGUUGGUGAGGUAACGGCUCACCAAGGCGACGAUCAGUAGCUGGUCUGAGAGGAUGACCAGCCACACUGGGACUGAGACACGGCCCAGACUCCUACGGGAGGCAGCAGUGGGGAAUCCUGCGCAAUGGGCGAAAGCCUGACGCAGCCAUGCCGCGUGAAUGAUGAAGGUCUUAGGAUUGUAAAAUUCUUUCACCGGGGACGAUAAUGACGGUACCCGGAGAAGAAGCCCCGGCUAACUUCGUG